GCGGUCGUGGCGGAAUGGCAGACGCGCUAUCUUGAGGGGGUAGUGACCAAAAGUCGUAUGGGUUCAAGUCCCAUCGACCGCACCA
RNAcentral lists this transfer RNA (85 nucleotides) under Propionispira arboris. RNAcentral's name for it is "tRNA_Leu_GAG". It matches the Rfam family "tRNA". From Rfam's summary of the family: Transfer RNA (tRNA) molecules are approximately 80 nucleotides in length. The record is from RNAcentral. Lineage: Bacteria; Bacillati; Bacillota; Negativicutes; Selenomonadales; Selenomonadaceae.